UACGGAGGAUGCAAGCGUUAUCCGGAAUUAUUGGGCGUAAAGCGUCCGCAGGUGGUUGAACAAGUCUGCUGUUAAAGCGCGGAGCUUAACUCCGUAAGGGCGGUGGAAACUGUUUAACUAGAGUACGGUAGGGGUAGCGGGAAUUCCCGGUGUAGCGGUGAAAUGCGUAGAUAUCGGGAAGAACACCAGCGGCGAAGGCGGUUCUCUGGGAAUGUCCUGACGCUGAGGAGCGAAAGUGUGGGGAGCGAACAGG
RNAcentral lists this ribosomal RNA (253 nucleotides) under uncultured bacterium. RNAcentral describes it as "partial 16S ribosomal RNA". It matches the Rfam family "Bacterial small subunit ribosomal RNA", at positions 524 to 776 of the family's 1533-position model. The record is from RNAcentral.